GAUGAACGCUGGCGGCGUGCCUAAUACAUGCAAGUCGAGCGAACAGACGAGGAGCUUGCUCCUCUGACGUUAGCGGCGGACGGGUGAGUAACACGUGGAUAACCUACCUAUAAGACUGGGAUAACUUCGGGAAACCGGAGCUAAUACCGGAUAAUAUAUUGAACCGCAUGGUUCAAUAGUGAAAGACGGUUUUGCUGUCACUUAUAGAUGGAUCCGCGCCGCAUUAGCUAGUUGGUAAGGUAACGGCUUACCAAGGCAACGAUGCGUAGCCGACCUGAGAGGCUGAUCGGCCACACUGGAACUGGGACGCGGUCCAGACUCCUACGGGAGGCAGCAGUAGGGAAUCUUCCGCAAUGGGCGAAAGCCUGACGGAGCAACGCCGCGUGAGUGAUGAAGGUCUUCGGAUCGUAAAACUCGGUUAUUAGGGAAGAACAAAUGUGUAAGUAACUAUGCACGUCUUGACGGUACCUAAUCAGAAAGCCACGGCUAACUACGUG
This 497-nucleotide ribosomal RNA is filed under the name uncultured bacterium. RNAcentral describes it as "partial 16S ribosomal RNA". It matches the Rfam family "Bacterial small subunit ribosomal RNA", at positions 28 to 507 of the family's 1533-position model. The record is from RNAcentral.